This 253-nucleotide ribosomal RNA is filed under the name uncultured bacterium. RNAcentral's name for it is "partial 16S ribosomal RNA". It matches the Rfam family "Bacterial small subunit ribosomal RNA", at positions 524 to 776 of the family's 1533-position model. The record is from RNAcentral.
GACAGAGGUGCCGAGCGUUAGGCGGAAUCACUGGGCUUAAAGCGUGUGUAGGCGGGUCUGUAAGUACCUUGUGAAAUCCCACGGCUCAACCGUGGAACUGCUUGGUAUACUGCGGGUCUUGAGCCACUUAGGGGCAACCGGAACAAACGGUGGAGCGGUGAAAUGCGUAGAUAUCGUUUGGAACGCCAAUGGUGAAAACAGGUUGCUGGGAGUGUGCUGACGCUGAGACACGAAAGCCAGGGGAGCAAACGGG